UGCUCAGCAACUCCUAUCCCUACCUUCUCGUGAUACUGGCCGGGGUACGAGUAACCUUAGGAAAGAUCGGGUAACCAACUUCGAGCUUUGGUCGUAUGCUGACAGGGAAGG
This 111-nucleotide ribozyme is filed under the name Aedes aegypti (yellow fever mosquito). Its description in RNAcentral is "drz-agam-1 ribozyme". It matches the Rfam family "drz-agam-1 ribozyme". Lineage: Eukaryota; Metazoa; Arthropoda; Insecta; Diptera; Culicidae. The record is from Rfam by way of RNAcentral.